Molecule: ribosomal RNA, 491 nt
Filed under: Enterococcus faecium
Lineage: Bacteria; Bacillati; Bacillota; Bacilli; Lactobacillales; Enterococcaceae
Description: bacterial SSU rRNA
Rfam family: Bacterial small subunit ribosomal RNA
Source: RNAcentral
UUUUAUGAGAGUUUGAUCCUGGCUCAGGACGAACGCUGGCGGCGUGCCUAAUACAUGCAAGUCGAACGCUUCUUUUUCCACCGGAGCUUGCUCCACCGGAAAAAGAGGAGUGGCGAACGGGUGAGUAACACGUGGGUAACCUGCCCAUCAGAAGGGGAUAACACUUGGAAACAGGUGCUAAUACCGUAUAACAAUCGAAACCGCAUGGUUUUGAUUUGAAAGGCGCUUUCGGGUGUCGCUGAUGGAUGGACCCGCGGUGCAUUAGCUAGUUGGUGAGGUAACGGCUCACCAAGGCCACGAUGCAUAGCCGACCUGAGAGGGUGAUCGGCCACAUUGGGACUGAGACACGGCCCAAACUCCUACGGGAGGCAGCAGUAGGGAAUCUUCGGCAAUGGACGAAAGUCUGACCGAGCAACGCCGCGUGAGUGAAGAAGGUUUUCGGAUCGUAAAACUCUGUUGUUAGAGAAGAACAAGGAUGAGAGUAACUGUUC